This is a long non-coding RNA of Hirundo rustica (Barn swallow), 419 nucleotides long. RefSeq lists it as uncharacterized. The transcript is spliced from 2 exons. The record is from RefSeq and is a predicted model, not a curated record. Lineage: Eukaryota; Metazoa; Chordata; Aves; Passeriformes; Hirundinidae.
GAGGGGCCGCGGCGCGCGGCGUGGGCCGGGCCGGGGCAGAGCGAGAAGUUGGCGGCGGCGGCGGCGGCGGGAGCGCAGCUCUGCGUUUGGCACUGUGCUGGCUGAUGACUUAACCCCGGGGGAUGCCGCCGGCAGAAGCAGCUCCGCAGGUCGUCCGGCAAGACCUGUCCCAGUUCCCAUCAGCAGCACUGUGGUAGGAAUGCCUCCGACUUCAUGCUACCAAUGGAACCAUCCUGUUCAGCUCCUGUAAGCAAAAGGAAGGGGUUGAAGUGAAGUUUGUUUGGUUUUGCCUUUUUUGUGUGUGUCUCCAGUACGGGGAGAGCGUACAGCUCAAUUUCUGUUUUUAGCAUUCUUGUGGCAUGAUUCAAAACUGACCUGCUGCGCUGUCACCUGAAGUCUUCAAUAAAUGUACGAAACCA